This 253-nucleotide ribosomal RNA is filed under the name uncultured bacterium. RNAcentral's name for it is "partial 16S ribosomal RNA". It matches the Rfam family "Bacterial small subunit ribosomal RNA", at positions 524 to 776 of the family's 1533-position model. The record is from RNAcentral.
UACGUAGGUGGCAAGCGUUGUCCGGAUUUAUUGGGUUUAAAGGGUGCGUAGGCGGCUUUGUAAGUCAGUGGUGAAAUAUGGCAGCUCAACUGUCAGGGUGCCAUUGAUACUGCAGAGCUUGAGUACAGAUGAGGUAGGCGGAAUUGACGGUGUAGCGGUGAAAUGCUUAGAUAUCGUCAAGAACACCGAUAGCGAAGGCAGCUUACUGGGCUGUAGCUGACGCUGAGGCACGAAAGUGUGGGGAUCAAACAGG